UGGGGAAUCUUGCACAAUGGAGGAAACUCUGAUGCAGCGACGCCGCGUGAGCGAAGAAGCCUUUCGGGGUGUAAAGCUCUUACGCCAGGGACGAUGAUGACGGUACCUGGAGAAGCAGCUGCGGCUAACUACGUGCCAGCAGCCGCGGUAAUACGUAGGCAGCAAGCGUUGUUCGGAAUUACUGGGCGUAAAGGGUGCGUAGGCGGCGCUUUAAGUUUGGUGUGAAAUCUCCCGGCUUAACUGGGAGGGUGCACUGAAACUGGGGCGCUCGAGUAUGGGAGAGGAAAGCGGAAUUCCUGGUGUAGCGGUGAAAUGCGUAGAGAUCAGGAGGAACACCUGCGGUGCAGACGGCUUUCUGGACCAUCACUGACGCUGAGGCACGAAAGCGUGGGUAGCAAACA
Molecule: ribosomal RNA, 401 nt
Filed under: uncultured bacterium
Lineage: Bacteria
Description: bacterial SSU rRNA
Rfam family: Bacterial small subunit ribosomal RNA
Source: RNAcentral